CUUGAAUGUGAUUUGGAACGCCUUCCUAAAUCUCAUUCAUACUUUGGGCAAAGAUUCUUAAUCAUAUCAUAGAGUAUUCUCCCUCAAACGGUUUGAAGGUUAGAGAUCCCUUGUUGCGCAUUCACUUGCCUCCAUGGCUAAGUAGCUUAACCCCAACGAUGUCGUGGACACCCGCGAAUGGGGUGACUUUGACAUAAUCAAAGAUCAAGGACCUAACCACAAGACAAAUGUUAUGCCUCAGGUCAAAGGACUAAUUUGCAUUAUCCCAACAAUGAGUUCUCAUGUGACAUGAAUAUGAGAACUCUUCGUUGAUCGUGUUCAGUGAACUCAUUCUCUAUUGAGCACCUACGUACUUGUCUUGAUGUCACGCACACCAAUGACUCGAGACUAGUCACUCUCCCUGAGAGAAGACAUAGCACGUACUGAUCUUAACGGACUGUCAAUGCCCAAUAGGCAAUCCUAUGAUCAGGAACGUUUAGGAUGUGUCUACGAAAGAAUGGUCUCAUGAAUCUAACUUCUUUAGAUUACAUUCUUCCAAUCACAUAUUCCUUGGACUUAUCGUUUAAGCAUAUAACAUUUAUAUGAGACGGCUUAAAACAAUAAUCUAUG
This 609-nucleotide long non-coding RNA is filed under the name Malus domestica (apple). RNAcentral describes it as "long non-coding RNA (MDOM_LNC000274)". The record is from RNAcentral. Lineage: Eukaryota; Viridiplantae; Streptophyta; Magnoliopsida; Rosales; Rosaceae.